This 333-nucleotide ribosomal RNA is filed under the name uncultured Dysgonomonas sp. Its description in RNAcentral is "bacterial SSU rRNA". It matches the Rfam family "Bacterial small subunit ribosomal RNA", at positions 355 to 688 of the family's 1533-position model. Lineage: Bacteria; Pseudomonadati; Bacteroidota; Bacteroidia; Bacteroidales; Dysgonomonadaceae. The record is from RNAcentral.
UGAGGAAUAUUGGUCAAUGGGCGAGAGCCUGAACCAGCCAAGUAGCGUGCAGGAUGACGGCCCUAUGGGUUGUAAACUUCUUUAGUGUGGGAACAAAGCGUGGUUGCGACCACAGAUGAGUGUACCACAAGAAUAAGCAUCGGCUAACUCCGUGCCAGCAGCCGCGGUAAUACGGAGGAUGCGAGCGUUAUCCGGAUUUAUUGGGUUUAAAGGUGCGUAGGCGGACUUUCAAGUCAGCGGUAAAAUUUCCGGGCUUAACCUGGUUGUGCCGUUGAAACUGAGAGACUGGAGUGCGCUUGAGGUAGGCGGAAUGCGUUGUGUAGCGGUGAAAUG